AUUGAACGCUGGCGGCAGGCCUAACACAUGCAAGUCGAACGAGUGGCGGACGGGUGAGUAAGUUCUGGGAAACUGCCUGAUGGAGGGGGAUAACUACUGGAAACGGUAGCUAAUACCGCUUACCAUCAGAUUUGUCCAGAUGGGAUUAGCUAGUUGGUGGGGUAACGGCUCACCAAGGCGACGAUUCCUUGCUGGUCUGUGAGGAUGACCCGCCACACUGGAACCUGGACACGGUCCAGUCUCCAACGGGAGGCAGCAGUGGGGAAUCUUGGACAAUGGGCGCAAGUCUGAUGCAGCAAUGCCGCGUGUAUGAAGAAGGUUUUCGGGUUGUAAAGUACUUUCAUCGGGGAGGCGUUACCCGCCGAAGAAGCACCGGCUAACUCCGUGCCAGCAGCCGCGGUAAUUC
Molecule: ribosomal RNA, 406 nt
Filed under: uncultured bacterium
Lineage: Bacteria
Description: partial 16S ribosomal RNA
Rfam family: Bacterial small subunit ribosomal RNA
Source: RNAcentral